Molecule: long non-coding RNA, 1579 nt
Organism: Thunnus maccoyii (southern bluefin tuna)
Lineage: Eukaryota; Metazoa; Chordata; Actinopteri; Scombriformes; Scombridae
Exons: 5
Source: RefSeq, a predicted model, not a curated record
CUCCGCUAGUUGAGAAGAGAGAUUUAGUAACUCCUGAUGUAAGAAUAAAACGAGUUGAAACCGAGUGGAGACGGCGAUAUUCCCAGAGAGAGAAACCUGAUAAACUACAGAGUAGCUGUUGAAAGAGAAGUUACCUGCGAGCGUUUCUCUCCAAAUUAAUGAAUUAUCCUGAGUUAGCUACUCCAAUCUGGUUAUCUGGUUAGCAUUACGAUUUUGUUCCAAAAGAGUUGAAUAGUGUGUUAUUUUACCUUUGAAAAACAUAGUACAGCAAAAAACAGUAGUUUAUGUUUGUGUAAUGUGAAAUGAGUGUAGUUGAUGGUAAUGAGCUUUUUAACCACCCACCUGUGUCGGCUUAAUUGCGGACUAGAAGCUAAGCUAAAUGUAACGUGUAAAUUAGCUGUUGUAUUAGCUCUCGUGAUCAUAAGGACGUUCUAGAAUGCCAGUCAUAACUGAGGACAGAUGCACACUGAACUCCUGGCAUUUUACUGUUUGCAGAGAAGCAGGCAACAUGCUGUGAGAGCACCACAUUUCAACCAGAAACUGGACUGAACUCAGUAUGACAAGAUCAUAUGUGUCUCUACACACACAAAAAGGAACAUUUACAAGAGGAGAGGACUGGAGACAGUGUGAAGUUUGAACACUCAUUUUAAAUUCAGAUACAGUAUACUUAUGAUAUGGUCAUAUUUCAUCUGAUGACAUAUUGCUCAUCUGUUCAUCUGGUUUUUCAACACUUUGAACAUUGAUCUCCAUCGUCUGAUUGCUCUUUCUUUGUUGUUUUUUUCUUUUUCUUUUUCAGAAAAAUGAGAGGAGAAAAAUGAGAGGAGGUAGGAGUCCGAGAGGCAACAUGAACUUUGAACUCUGUUUUUAUACGUUUUCUACCUAUUUUUACGUUCAGAAUUCAUGUGUUCAGAAUUGUUUUGUAACAUUUUUAAUCAGUUUCUUCUUGUCUUCCAUUUGUUUUCUACAGAGAGCAGAGGACUGGAGACAGUGUGAAGUUUGAACACUCAUUUUAAAUUCAGAUACAGUAUACUUAUGAUAUGGUCAUAUUUCAUCUGAUGACAUAUUGCUCAUCUGUUCAUCUGGUUUUUCAUACUUUGAACACUGAUUUAUAUCAUCUGACUACUCUUAUUUUGUUGUUUUUUUCUUUUCUUUUUCAGAAAAAUGAGAGGAGGUAGGAAUCUGAGAGGCAACAUGAACUUUGAACUCUGUUUUUAUACUUUUUCUACGUUCUUUUACGUUCAGAAUGCAUGUGUUCAGAAAUAUUUCAACUGCUUAUUUUGUAACAUUUUUAAGUUUGAACACUGAUCUAUAUCGUCUGACUACUGUUUAUUUGUUGUUUUUCCUUUUUUUUCAGAAAAAUGAGAGGAGAAAAAUGAGAGGAGGUAGGAGUCCGAGAGGCAACAUGAACUUUGAACUCUGUUUUUAUACUUUUUCUACGUUCUUUUACGUUCAGAAUGCAUGUGUUCAGAAAUAUUUCAACUGCUUAUUUUGUAACAUUUUUAAGUUUGAACACUGAUCUAUAUCGUCUGACUACUGUUUAUUUGUUGUUUUUCCUUUUUUUUCAGAAAAAUGAGAGGAG